Molecule: long non-coding RNA, 466 nt
Organism: Osmia bicornis bicornis
Lineage: Eukaryota; Metazoa; Arthropoda; Insecta; Hymenoptera; Megachilidae
Exons: 2
Source: RefSeq, a predicted model, not a curated record
AGCGUCUUCGCGCUGGAAUCCGAAUCGCUCGAGUCUGACGUGUAAUUCUCCAUGAAUGGCGGCUGGAAAUUUGUGAAAACAAUGUUAGAAAAGCGAAGUAAAAUUUGUACUCUUCCCCUUGCCACGGACAGAAGCACAAGGAAGUCGAACGUUCCAGGAAGAAGAAGUCUAAAGAAGUGAACUCGGUUGAAAAAGCAAGUAACCGUACGAUAUUUGCUCGAUUAAACAAAGAAUUUUUGUUCAAUUCAAUUUCUUCGUUCGUCGGCUUAUCACUUGUACACGCAAACACUGUGUGUGCAAACAGUAAUCACGACGAAUUUUUAUAUAGAAUCCGAUGCCAGUUCCCCACCGAUAUUUAAGUCACAUUUUACCGAUCUAUCAAUCGGAUAUCUUCUCUCGUGUGCAUUGCAUUGGAGAUAAGUGAAAUUGGAAACGUUCGAAAUGAUAAAAAAAAAUGAUAUUUCAA